CUUGAGCCUGGGAGAUGGAGGUUGCAGUGAGCUGAGAUCAUGCCACUGUACUCCAGCCUGGGCAACAGAGCAAGACCUUGUCUC
Molecule: microRNA precursor, 84 nt
Organism: Saimiri boliviensis boliviensis (Bolivian squirrel monkey)
Lineage: Eukaryota; Metazoa; Chordata; Mammalia; Primates; Cebidae
Source: Ensembl